UGGCAGGAUUUACUUUUUUGACCAAAUGAGAAACAGGUGUACAUGAGCUGGAUCAGGGCGAAGUGGGACCCAGGGGAAGGAAAGGAGAGACAGGAGGGACAGGUGACGUAGGCCACAGGGGACCUGAAGGAAAGAAAGGGGACACGGGCCACAUAGGUGCUGUUGGCUCCAGGGGAUUUACUGGUCAGGACGGUUUGCCGGGCCAACCAGGCCAACCAGGAUAUCCAGGGAAACCUGUGAGUGAACUUCCUCCUGACCACCUCCUCUAAGCAGAUAAAAAACAGAAAA
This 288-nucleotide long non-coding RNA is filed under the name Cottoperca gobio. RNAcentral describes it as "lncRNA (ENSCGOG00000024276.1)". Lineage: Eukaryota; Metazoa; Chordata; Actinopteri; Perciformes; Bovichtidae. The record is from RNAcentral.